Molecule: long non-coding RNA, 666 nt
Organism: Hyla sarda
Lineage: Eukaryota; Metazoa; Chordata; Amphibia; Anura; Hylidae
Exons: 4
Source: RefSeq, a predicted model, not a curated record
CUCCACACUAGGUCUCUUUAGUUCCUGGUCUCUCUUGAGUUCCUGCUCUCUUUGUUCCAGCAACAAUCCUGUACAAGUUCAAUCCAGUACAGCUAGGCCAAUGCCUACAAGUCUGAAGCCACAUCUAAUCUCAUUUCUGGAGGACUGGAAGAGUAGCCUGCUUCAAAAUACAGAUUACAUGCUCCAGUAUGAAACUGUAGAGUGUGAGAAUGACCUGCACUGGGCGACUCCAUGAACCGGCAGCCUCAGAAAAUUCAAGACAGAACAAAACUUGUUAAAGGAUAAUCUGUCCCCUAUCAUCUUUCCAACAACUCAGGAGUUGGCAGCAGAGAAAGCAAGUAGAAAUUCCAAUUUGCACAAAAGUAAAUUCUUACUUUAAGCGAUGACUGCAAACGUGGGCCGAGAAUCUGAUGUGUCCAGCAAAUGCUUGAAUUCUAAUAUACCAUAUUCUUUUAUCUGACAACACCAAGGACAGGAGAAAGGUCUAAUGAAAAAUGAAAAAGUUGCCUGUUGUUGAUGACAAUGAAGAAUUAUAAAUACUGAUACACACUAUACACACUGUAGACUGUGAAUUCGUACAGAAAAUAAGACGUAGACUGAAAUGUAUUCUAAAAUGUGAUGAAGUAAAGUAAAUUUGUGAGUGUAUAAGACAUGUAUUAAAGAGAG